RNAcentral lists this ribosomal RNA (292 nucleotides) under uncultured bacterium. Its description in RNAcentral is "partial 16S ribosomal RNA". The record is from RNAcentral.
GGACUACCCGGGUAUCUAAUCCUGUUUGCUCCCCACGCUUUCGCGUCUCAGCGUCAGUGUCCGUCCAGGUCGCCGCCUUCGCCACUGGUGUUCCUCCCGAUAUCUACGAAUUUCACCUCUACACCGGGAAUUCCGCGACCCUCUCCGGCACUCAAGCUCGCCAGUUUCCUGCGCACUUCCUUGGUUAAGCCAAGGGCUUUCACACAGGACUUAACAAGCCGCCUACAAGCGCUUUACGCCCAAUAAUUCCGAACAACGCUCGCACCCUCUGUAUUACCGCGGCUGCUGGCAC